Molecule: ribosomal RNA, 329 nt
Filed under: uncultured eukaryote
Lineage: Eukaryota
Description: partial 18S ribosomal RNA
Rfam family: Eukaryotic small subunit ribosomal RNA
Source: RNAcentral
CCCUUAGAUGUUCUGGGCCGCACGCGCGCUACACUGAUGCAUUCAACGAGUCUAAAACCUGCUCUGAUAGGGGUGGGUAAUCUUUUGAAUGUGCAUCGUGAUUGGGAUAGACGAUUGCAAUUUUUCAUCUUCAACGAGGAAUGCCUAGUAAACGCAAGUCAUCAGCUUGCAUUGAUUACGUCCCUGCCCUUUGUACACACCGCCCGUCGCUCCUACCGAUUGAAUGAUCCGAUGAAUAUCAUGGAUUGAGGAUUAUAGCAGGUUCGCCUGUCUUGAUCUUCGAGAAGUGAAGUAAAUCUUAUCAUUUAGAGGAAGGAGAAGUCGUAACA